RNAcentral lists this ribosomal RNA (913 nucleotides) under uncultured bacterium. Its description in RNAcentral is "bacterial SSU rRNA". It matches the Rfam family "Bacterial small subunit ribosomal RNA", at positions 8 to 916 of the family's 1533-position model. The record is from RNAcentral.
AGAGUUUGAUCCUGGCUCAGAUUGAACGCUGGCGGCAUGCCUUACACAUGCAAGUCGAACGGCAGCACGGGAGCAAUCCUGGUGGCGAGUGGCGAACGGGUGAGUUAAUAUAUCGGAACGUGCCCAGUCGUGGGGGAUAACGCAGCGAAAGCUGUGCUAAUACCGCAUACGACCUACGGGUGAAAGCGGGGGAUCGCAAGACCUCGCGUUAUUGGAGCGGCCGAUAUCAGAUUAGCUUGUUGGUGGGGUAAAAGCCCACCAAGGCGACGAUCUGUAGCUGGUCUGAGAGGACGACCAGCCACACUGGGACUGAGACACGGCCCAGACUCCUACGGGAGGCAGCAGUGGGGAAUUUUGGACAAUGGGCGCAAGCCUGAUCCAGCCAUGCCGCGUGUGGGAAGAAGGCCUUCGGGUUGUAAACCACUUUUGUCAGGGAAGAAACGGUUCUUACUAAUAUUAGGAACUAAUGACGGUACCUGAAGAAUAAGCACCGGCUAACUACGUGCCAGCAGCCGCGGUAAUACGUAGGGUGCAAGCGUUAAUCGGAAUUACUGGGCGUAAAGCGUGCGCAGGCGGCUUUGCAAGACAGAUGUGAAAUCCCCGGGCUCAACCUGGGAACUGCAUUUGUGACUGCAUGGCUAGAGUACGGUAGAGGGGGAUGGAAUUCCGCGUGUAGCAGUGAAAUGCGUAGAUAUGCGGAGGAACACCGAUGGCGAAGGCAAUCCCCUGGACCUGUACUGACGCUCAUGCACGAAAGCAUGGGGAGCAAACAGGAUUAGAUACCCUGGUAGUCCACACCCUAAACGAUGUCAACUGGUUGUUGGACGGCUUGCUGUUCAGUAACGAAGCUAACGCGUGAAGUUGACCGCCUGGGGAGUACGGCCGCAAGGUUGAAACUUAAAGGAAUUGACGG